RNAcentral lists this ribosomal RNA (253 nucleotides) under uncultured bacterium. RNAcentral's name for it is "partial 16S ribosomal RNA". It matches the Rfam family "Bacterial small subunit ribosomal RNA", at positions 524 to 776 of the family's 1533-position model. The record is from RNAcentral.
CACGUAGGGCGCAAGCGUUGUCCGGAAUUAUUGGGCGUAAAGCGCUCGCAGGCGGUCCGAUGCGUCGUGCGUGAAAGACCCCGGCUCAACUGGGGAGGGUCGUGCGAUACGGUCGGACUCGAGGCCAGUAGGGGGACGCGGAAUUCCGGGUGUAGUGGUGGAAUGCGUAGAGAUCCGGAAGAACACCGGUGGCGAAGGCGCUCUGCUAGGCCGUAACUGACACUGGGGGACGAAAGCUAGGGGAGCGAAUGGG